Molecule: long non-coding RNA, 558 nt
Organism: Etheostoma cragini (Arkansas darter)
Lineage: Eukaryota; Metazoa; Chordata; Actinopteri; Perciformes; Percidae
Exons: 3
Source: RefSeq, a predicted model, not a curated record
CACAUUUAGCUAGCUAACGUUAACGAUAUUGUUUACAGAGUGGCUGCAACGUUGGCACAUUUCAGAAAAUAGCCUUAGCCCUUUCUGGGGUACCUGCAACGAGUAAAAUAAUAUUUCUCGCGUGAGAAGGGGAGGCUCAUUCGCCGCUGCCAGCCCAGAGAUUAUCAUUAAGAGGAGGCAAAUAAAAUGUGAAGGAUCACACUUAAGUGAAAACUGUUGAAGUUGAAUCCCGGAAAAUCGUCAAGCAGCCAGAGAACUGCAACCAUGUGAGGGAGGAAAAGCUCAUCAAGAUGUAAGGGAUGACAGAUUCCACCAUCUGCAGGUGACUCUGAUGCACAAAUGGUAAGUAAAAAGUUUGGAACACAAGCGCUGAGCGGAAGUUUUACAGAAGCGGUUUGGUGAACAAAGCCGUGGGCAGUGGUGGAAGGAGUAGUCAGAUCCUUUACUUAAGUAAAAGUACUAAAAACUCUGUUACAAGUAAACGUCCUGCAUUGAAAAUGUUACUUACGUAAAAGUAUGUUAGUAGCAUCAGGAAAAGGUACUCAAUGUUCUAAAAGU